UCACGAUGGUCCGAACCCGUUUGCUCUUCGCUUUGCUGCUCGUCGCGGCCGUGUUUCUCGUCCGCGAAACUGGAGCCAGAAGGUCGACAACUACUACCGAGCCACCUUUCUAUGAUUUGGUGGAGCCGGUUAGGUCCAUCGACGCUUCUUGUCCGCCGGGCUACGUCUUCAGAAGGGGAAGAUGCAGGUCGGGUCAUUAAUUCUUCAAAGUCUUACGAGAAAAUGAGCUGUGUUCCUCGGAAGCGGCUGCUCCACACGUGAUCCACGACAAAAAUGUGUAGAAUUCUUUGUUCUUUGUAACAGCUAUUUUAAAAAUUUGUAUAAUAUCUUGAGCUUGCAUAAAGUGGCAAGAUUUUUUUAGGGUUCUAGUAGACAUUUAAUAGUAAACGAUUAAAAAUUUGAAAGUAUAUUUAAGUGCCUGGAAAUUAAAAAAUAUUACUGCGUUAUUAAUUCUAAAAUUUGAGAUCCCAGAGCUAAUUCUAUAAUUUUUACAUCAAAUCAAAGCGACUCUUAUCAUCUUCUCGGGGCCAAAUGUCUAUUUUUACGCAAUUCUUUUAUUUGUCUUGUUAUUUGUUUUGCUGGAAAUUAAAAUAAAUGUUAUCGAGUAUCGGAUAUGACGCUGCCAUUGUUUUCCAUUUCAUUUAAUCACGCUGUGGAUCUGAUUGACCUUUGUCCUUGAUUCUAUCUAUCUUAGGCACUAAUUAUAAACUGCGCUGUAAGCAAUUGAUCGUGUUAUUCAAACGCAGCACAAAUGCAACAGUUGUCUUUUGAGGCUUCAAGUUCGCUCUCUGUUCGUUUUGCUGCUUUUGCGGCGGCUGUUUGGCCCGCCCGCGAAUCUCGAGCCCUUGAUGGAAACGACACCGAGAAUUCAAAUAGUGCUUGGGCUUUUCCUCCUUUGAAGACGUGUCACCACAGUUGUAAAAUGUAUUUUUAAUUUUACGUUAAUAAAAUAAAUAUUUAAAAUUGCA
Long non-coding RNA from Cloeon dipterum, 968 nucleotides. RefSeq lists it as uncharacterized. The transcript has 2 exons. The record is from RefSeq and is a predicted model, not a curated record. NCBI's taxonomy places the organism in Eukaryota, Metazoa, Arthropoda, Insecta, Ephemeroptera, Baetidae.